This 1347-nucleotide ribosomal RNA is filed under the name uncultured bacterium. Its description in RNAcentral is "bacterial SSU rRNA". It matches the Rfam family "Bacterial small subunit ribosomal RNA", at positions 28 to 1381 of the family's 1533-position model. The record is from RNAcentral.
GACGAACGCUGGCGGCGUGCUUAACACAUGCAAGUCGAACGGAAAGGCCCUGCUUUUGUGGGGUGCUCGAGUGGCGAACGGGUGAGUAACACGUGAGUAACCUGCCCUUGACUUUGGGAUAACUUCAGGAAACUGGGGCUAAUACCGGAUAGGAGCUCCUGCUGCAUGGUGGGGGUUGGAAAGUUUCGGCGGUUGGGGAUGGACUCGCGGCUUAUCAGCUUGUUGGUGGGGUAGUGGCUUACCAAGGCUUUGACGGGUAGCCGGCCUGAGAGGGUGACCGGCCACAUUGGGACUGAGAUACGGCCCAGACUCCUACGGGAGGCAGCAGUGGGGAAUAUUGCACAAUGGGCGGAAGCCUGAUGCAACAACGCCGCGUGCGGGAUGACGGCCUUCGGGUUGUAAACCGCUUUCGCCUGUGACGAAGCGUGAGUGACGGUAAUGGGUAAAGAAGCACCGGCUAACUGCGUGCCAGCAGCCGCGGUGAUACGUAGGGUGCGAGCGUUGUCCGGAUUUAUUGGGCGUAAAGGGCUCGUAGGUGGUUGAUCGCGUCGGAAGUGUAAUCUUGGGGCUUAACCCUGAGCGUGCUUUCGAUACGGGUUGACUUGAGGAAGGUAGGGGAGAAAUGGAAUUCCUGGUGGAGCGGUGGAAUGCGCAGAUAUCAGGAGGAACACCAGUGGCGAAGGCGGUUCUCUGGGCCUUUCCUGACGCUGAGGAGCGAAAGCGUGGGGAGCGAACAGGCUUAGAUACCCUGGUAGUCCACGCUGUAAACGGUGGGUACUAGGUGUGGGGUCCGUUCCACGGGUUCCGUGCCGUAGCUAACGCUUUAAGUACCCCGCCUGGGGAGUACGGCCGCAAGGCUAAAACUCAAAGGAAUUGACGGGGCCCCGCACAAGCGGCGGAGCAUGCGGAUUAAUUCGAUGCAACGCGUAGAACCUUACCCGGGUUUGACAUGGAUCGGGAGUGCUCAGAGAUGGGUGUGCCUCUUUUGGGGUCGGUUCACAGGUGGUGCAUGCCUGUCGUCAGCUCGUGUCGUGAGAUGUUGGGUUAAGUCCCGCAACGAGCGCAACCCUUGUUCACUGUUGCCAGCACGUUAUGGUGGGGACUCAGUGGAGACCGCCGGGGUCAACUCGGAGGAAGGUGGGGAUGACGUCAAGUCCUCAUGCCCCUUAUGUCCAGGGCUUCACGCAUGCUACAAUGGCUGGUACAGAGAGUGGCGAGCCUGUGAGGGUGAGCGAAUCUCGGAAAGCCGGUCUCAGUUCGGAUUGGGGUCUGCAACUCGACCUCAUGAAGUCGGAGUCGCUAGUAAUCGCAGAUCAGCAACGCUGCGGUGAAUACGUUCCCGGGGAA